GCGUGGACCAUGCACCCUCUGGGCAUCCCCACCGAGGGUUCUUUCUCUCCUUGGCUCGCCAGCUUCGCUCUGAGCUCAGCUUGCUACUGCCCCUCUUAGACAAGAGAAGUGGGAGGGAGUGGAAACCGGAACCCGUGGAGUAUGACCCGCCCAUGCGUGGACCCGGCAGGUUGCUACAACUUGCACUUGGAGGGGAGAGGUCCCAUGGCCCCCGAAUUAGAAAUGCCAGGCUUAUCUCUUUUUGUAACCCUUCAUUUUAAAAUGUAAUUAAUAAGCACU
This is a long non-coding RNA of Symphalangus syndactylus (siamang), 279 nucleotides long. RefSeq lists it as uncharacterized. Lineage: Eukaryota; Metazoa; Chordata; Mammalia; Primates; Hylobatidae. The record is from RefSeq and is a predicted model, not a curated record.